GAUGAACGCUGGCGGCGUGCCUAAUACAUGCAAGUCGAGCGAACAGACGAGGAGCUUGCUCCUCUGACGUUAGCGGCGGACGGGUGAGUAACACGUGGAUAACCUACCUAUAGGACUGGGAUAACUUCGGGAAACCGGAGCUAAUACCGGAUAAUAUAUUGAACCGCAUGGUUCAAUAGUGAAAGACGGUUUUGCUGUCACUUAUAGAUGGAUCCGCGCCGCAUUAGCUAGUUGGUAAGGUAACGGCUUACCAAGGCGACGAUGCGUAGCCGACCUGAGAGGGUGGUCGGCCAGACUGGAACUGAGACACGGUCCAGACUCCGACGGGAGGCAGCAGUAGGGAAUCUUCCGCAAUGGGCGAAAGCCUGACGGAGCAACGCCGCGUGAGUGAUGAAGGUCUUCGGAUCGUAAAACUCUGUUAUUAGGGAAGAACAAAUGUGUAAGUAACUAUGCACGUCUUGACGGUACCUAAUCAGAAAGCCACGGCUAACUACGUG
This 497-nucleotide ribosomal RNA is filed under the name uncultured bacterium. Its description in RNAcentral is "partial 16S ribosomal RNA". It matches the Rfam family "Bacterial small subunit ribosomal RNA", at positions 28 to 507 of the family's 1533-position model. The record is from RNAcentral.